This 252-nucleotide ribosomal RNA is filed under the name uncultured bacterium. Its description in RNAcentral is "partial 16S ribosomal RNA". It matches the Rfam family "Bacterial small subunit ribosomal RNA", at positions 524 to 776 of the family's 1533-position model. The record is from RNAcentral.
GACAGAGGGUGCAAACGUUGUUCGGAAUUACUGGGCGUAAAGCGCGUGUAGGCUGCUCGAACAGUCGGGUGUGAAAGCCCUCGCUCAACCGAGGAAGUGCGCCCGAAACUGCAGAGCUUGAGUACCGGAGAGGAUGGCGGAAUUCCCCAAGUAGAGGUGAAAUUCGUAGAUAUCGAGAGGAACACCUGCGGCGAAGGCGGGUAGCUGGGCCGACACUGACGCUGAGGCGCGAAAGCCAGGGGAGCGAACGGG